RNAcentral lists this ribosomal RNA (325 nucleotides) under Euglypha sp. (in: cercozoans). Its description in RNAcentral is "SSU rRNA". The stretch from base 109 to 325 matches the Rfam family "Eukaryotic small subunit ribosomal RNA", at positions 738 to 955 of the family's 1831-position model. The record is from RNAcentral. Lineage: Eukaryota; Cercozoa; Imbricatea; Euglyphida; Euglyphidae.
GAUUUCUGACGAACCGGAGUGGCCCGUUUCCUCUCUGGGAAUGAGUGCCGCUUUGAGUUUGUCAUCCUUCCAGAGAGCUGCGUCUACCGUUUACUCGGCCGGACGUAUGCGAUCUGGAUCUAUUACUUUGAAAAAAUUAGAGUGUUUCAAGCAGGCGUUUUGCUAUGAAUACAUUAGCAUGGAAUAAUGAGUUAGGACUUCGGUUCUAUUUUGUUGGUUUCUAGGACUGAAGUAAUGAUUGAUAGGGAUAGUUGGGGGUGCUAGUAUUCAGCGGCCAGAGGUGAAAUUCUUGGAUUCGCUGAAGACUAACUUAUGCGAAAGCAUU